RNAcentral lists this ribosomal RNA (250 nucleotides) under uncultured prokaryote. RNAcentral's name for it is "partial 16S ribosomal RNA". It matches the Rfam family "Bacterial small subunit ribosomal RNA", at positions 524 to 774 of the family's 1533-position model. The record is from RNAcentral.
UACGUAGGGAGCAAGCGUUAUCCGGAUUCAUUGGGCGUAAAGCGCGCGUAGGCGGUUAUGUAAGUGGGACCUCUAAUCCUGGGGCUUAACUCCAGGCCGGGUUCCAAACUGCGUGACUUGAGUGCGGUAGAGGUAGACGGAAUUCCAUGUGUAGCGGUGAAAUGCGCAGAUAUAUGGAAGAACACCGAUGGCGAAGGCAGUCUACUGGGCCGAUACUGACGCUGAGGCGCGAAAGCUGGGGGAGCAAACA